UAGGGAAUUUUCCACAAUGGACGAAAGUCUGAUGGAGCAACGCCGCGUGCAGGAUGAAUGCCUUCGGGUUGUAAACUGCUUUUAUCUGUGACGAAUAUGACGGUAGCAGAUGAAUAAGGAUCGGCUAACUCCGUG
RNAcentral lists this ribosomal RNA (135 nucleotides) under uncultured bacterium. RNAcentral's name for it is "partial 16S rRNA". It matches the Rfam family "Bacterial small subunit ribosomal RNA", at positions 355 to 507 of the family's 1533-position model. The record is from RNAcentral.